This is a long non-coding RNA of Scophthalmus maximus (turbot), 1457 nucleotides long. RefSeq lists it as uncharacterized. The record is from RefSeq and is a predicted model, not a curated record. The transcript is spliced from 6 exons. Lineage: Eukaryota; Metazoa; Chordata; Actinopteri; Pleuronectiformes; Scophthalmidae.
UCUGUGUGUGUGUGUGUGUGUGUGUGUGUGUGUGUGUGUCUCUGUGUGUGUGUGUGUGUGUGUGUGUGUUGUUACCCUGCCUGCUGGGAGUCACACAGCAGCAGCAGAAGGAGGAGCAGGACAUCCUGUUGGCAUCAGGGUGAAACACCUGCUGGAGCUGUUAUAUUCCCGACCUUGACGGAGUUGAUGCAGUUCUUGGCGAGGCCGCGGCUCUGCAGGAAGGGACAGUCUUCACAGAUCUCCACGCACUGGCCCGAGAAGUUACAGGCCUCGAACAGCUCGAUGCGAUAGUGCUCGCCGUGCUGACGGAGGGAAGGAAGACACGGAUUAGUCUUCAGGGUUCGUCCUCCGAGGAGCACAACAGUGACCCGAUAGGUCGAAGAGUCAGAGGCGGUGUUUACCAUGCGGAUGGGUUUGCAGGAUCCCAUGUGGUCGUUGUGGGAGUUCCACCUCUGGAAUUCUGGGUACUCUCCGUGCUCCAGGAUGUACUGCUGGCCCUUAAAGUCGGGAUGGUCGAAGCAGAUCCAGGCGCCGCUCUCGACCCGGAUGGAGUUCACCCUGAAAACACAAAGAGACGACUCUUUAUAUACACCACGGUCCUGGAAGUUGUCACAGUCACCUCUGACCUCCAGCUUCCUGCCGGUGAAGCACUUCCCCUCAUAGAAGGUGAUCUGAGGAGAAAGAAACAAACACACGAUCAAUCGACUGGUGGGAACCAGUUCGUCUGUGGGAAGAGAAAAUCAAUCGUGUGGAUUCAAAGACAUAAUGAGGUGAUUUGAUUCAAACUUGAAUUUGUCUGACAAGUCGACAAAAUAAAGAAGAAGCAUAAAACAAAAUCUGUAGUGAAGAAACGUUUCUCUGUGAGUCGUCACGCAGCGGUGAUGUCAGAGGCAGCGGACACGCCCCCUCCCCAGCACACUGUGACAUCACAGCGGCAGCGAGAAGCUAAACAAGACUAUGAGGUGUUCCUGGAAACAGUGACGACCAGAACAUGACGUUCAUCUGAUUCAUCUAAAGACAAAUAUAGUUAUAUAUAUAUAUAAUUCACCAUCUGAAAACUUCAUCGAUUUCCAACAACAACAAUAAAGAAUACUGCGACAUCUUGACCUCUGGACGUCGUCCAACCUGAAGCUCGACCACACACACUGAGUAACAGAGGGAAAGUUGGACACCUCAAUUUAUACUGCAGGGGGGCGAGCGAGGGGCGAGCGAGGGGCGAGCGGGACAAAAGAGCAGGGUUUAAAAGUUUCUGCUGCCUCGACGAUUCCCUUCAUCAUCCUGACCCGUCUGCUGAUUCUGCUGUGUGUGUGUGUGUGUGUGUGUGUGUGUGAAUAGCUUUGCAGGGUCAGUGAUAUUGUUCGUCUCCAUGGAGACACAGUGACAGCCUCCCUCAUGCUGUCACAGUUUGAUGAAUAAACUUGUUAAAUUAUUUUAUUAAAGGCAGAAAACACGAGUCA